CCGAGAAUCUUGGUCAAUGGGCGAAAGCCUGAACCAGCGACACUGCGUACGGGAAGAAGGUCUUCGGAUUGUAAACCGUUUUUAUAGGGGAAGAAGUUUUCUGACGGUACCCUAAGAAUAAGAGGUUGCUAACUCUGUGCCAGCAGCAGCGGUAAUACAGAGACCUCGAGCGUUAUCCGGAUUUAUUGGGCGUAAAGGGUGCGUAGGAGGUUGAAGAAGUCUUCGGUCAAAUAUCCAGAGCUUAACUUUGGAAAUGCCGGGGAAACCAUUCAACUUGAGGAUGCUAGAGGCUAACGGAACUAUCAGUGUAGGGGUGAAAUCCGUUGAUAUUGAUGGGACCACCAAAAGCGAAGGCAGUUAGCUGGGGCAAUCCUGACUCUGAGGCACGAAAGCGUGGGGAGCAAAAAGG
This 409-nucleotide ribosomal RNA is filed under the name uncultured bacterium. RNAcentral describes it as "bacterial SSU rRNA". It matches the Rfam family "Bacterial small subunit ribosomal RNA", at positions 355 to 776 of the family's 1533-position model. The record is from RNAcentral.